Non-coding RNA from Oncorhynchus mykiss (rainbow trout), 82 nucleotides. NCBI's taxonomy places the organism in Eukaryota, Metazoa, Chordata, Actinopteri, Salmoniformes, Salmonidae. The record is from the annotation of a RefSeq genome assembly.
GCUGUGAUGGCCGAGUGGUUAAGGCGUUGGACUCGAAAACCAAUGGGGUCUACCCACGCAUGAUCGAACCCUGCUCACAGUG